This 274-nucleotide ribosomal RNA is filed under the name uncultured bacterium. RNAcentral's name for it is "partial 16S ribosomal RNA". It matches the Rfam family "Bacterial small subunit ribosomal RNA", at positions 523 to 796 of the family's 1533-position model. The record is from RNAcentral.
AUACGGAGGGUGCAAGCGUUAUUCGGAAUCACUGGGCGUAAAGGACGCGUAGGCGGGUUGGCAAGUCAGAUGUGAAAUCCUACAGCUUAACUGUAGAACUGCAUUUGAAACUGCUAACCUAGAGUAUGGGAGGGGGAGAUGGAAUUAGUGGUGUAGGGGUAAAAUCCGUAGAUACCACUAGGAAUACCGAAAGCGAAGGCGAUCUCCUGGAACAUAACUGACGCUAAGGCGUGAAAGCGUGGGGAGCAAACAGGAUUAGAAACCCUAGUAGUCC